UUCAAAGGGCUAUGGGUUCUUGGCGUCACACUAACGCCGUAAAAGAUAUCAUGGCAGUCUUCUCCAGAUUCAUAUUCUGAAUGACAAACUUCAUCUCAUCUACUGACGUUUUGCCUCAGCAUUGUUGCCCCACUCUGUUCCACUGAGGCACGUCCCUUGUAAGCUCUGCUACUGGUGCAACACUAACAGAUUCUGGCAUACAGCACAGCAAUGUACAAG
Molecule: long non-coding RNA, 219 nt
Organism: Nothoprocta perdicaria
Lineage: Eukaryota; Metazoa; Chordata; Aves; Tinamiformes; Tinamidae
Exons: 2
Source: RefSeq, a predicted model, not a curated record